This 81-nucleotide transfer RNA is filed under the name Vararia minispora EC-137. Its description in RNAcentral is "tRNA-Thr". It matches the Rfam family "tRNA". From Rfam's summary of the family: Transfer RNA (tRNA) molecules are approximately 80 nucleotides in length. Their secondary structure includes four short double-helical elements and three loops (D, anti-codon, and T loops). Lineage: Eukaryota; Fungi; Basidiomycota; Agaricomycetes; Russulales; Lachnocladiaceae. The record is from RNAcentral.
UCCCGCUUAGCUCAGCUGGUAGAGCGCGUCACUAGUAUUUAGCUAAUGACGAGGUCAGUCGUUCAAGUCGGCUAGUGGGAA